This 308-nucleotide unclassified non-coding RNA is filed under the name uncultured fungus. Its description in RNAcentral is "partial contains 5.8S ribosomal RNA, internal transcribed spacer 2, and large subunit ribosomal RNA". The record is from RNAcentral. Lineage: Eukaryota; Fungi.
AACGCACCUUGCACUCCUUGGUAUUCCGAGGAGUAUGCCUGUUCGAGUGUCAUGAAACUCUCAAACCGCAUCUUCAUUGAUGUCGGGCUUGGAUUUGGACGUUGCUGGACGUGAGUUCGGCUCGUCUUGAACGCAUUAGCUGACGAUUUCGACUUCAGUUAAACCGUGUGAUAAUACAUCAACGCGGGCAGCCGUAAGGCGCUGGGUCGUCUCUCAAAGGCUUCCAAUCGUCCCGUCCGGGACUGUCCUUACGGGCAUUUCAUUUCACAUCUGGCCUCGAAUCAGGUAGGACUACCCGCUGAACUUAA